Long non-coding RNA from Populus trichocarpa (black cottonwood), 1427 nucleotides. RefSeq lists it as uncharacterized. The record is from RefSeq and is a predicted model, not a curated record. The transcript is spliced from 2 exons. NCBI's taxonomy places the organism in Eukaryota, Viridiplantae, Streptophyta, Magnoliopsida, Malpighiales, Salicaceae.
UUCUGUUUUCUUCUUUUAAACUGACUGUCAAGUGUCAACAAAUUUAUAUAUAGUACCCUCCAACCAUUUUCCCUGCCACAAUUUAUUCUCCAACUCCAACCAAUUGGUUAUAACACCAACUCCCAGUUGCUACCAUUUUCUGCUUUUAUUUAUGUAACCACACAUUUGCCGUCAGCAAGAAUGGCCCAAUUUGCCCUAGCUAAGGGAGUAGGGUGGUCAUUCAGGGGGGUUUGUGUCCUUUGUCAUUACUUUGGAAAUUUUUCUUUGGAUCCAUGCAUGUAGGCCUCCUAUUUAUAGCAACAUGCUUGGAUUCUAAAUUGUCGCAGCAACUUGUGAAAGCUCCACAGGUGGUGAGAAAGAGAGGAUUGGAGCUCGCAUGGCCUCUUUGUAAUGUUUCUUGCUCAAAUGAGUAUUCCAACAACAGUAGCCUUUUGAACAAGAACAUAUGUUUUUGCCUUGUAUGGUUAUGAUGUUGCUGGUAUUUACUGUUUCUGAGAUGCUCAUUCGAGCAAGAAAUAUUAGAAGAGGAUAUUUUUCUACUAGGGUCUUGCUUCAAUAAGAGGAAGAACUGCUUGCUCAAAGUUUAUCAGAUAAGUUGCUGUACUUUUCUUCCCUAGCCACCACACAUGCAAAGGUUGUUUUCUGAUUUUUGCUCACAAGAGUCUAGCAAUAAAACAAGGUUUAGGGUUUUCCUCCUCUCUUUUUUUUCCUGUGUUUUAGUUGCUAAAUAGGGGGUUCAUCUAGGUAGGGAAUAUUUAUGGUGAUGGAUCAUGGUUAGUUUGUCUUGAUGAAAUCUGAUGGACUGGUUAAGCAUAUUUUUCCAUGAGAUUUCAUUGUCUGAUGUCCUGAAUUGAAGUUAUCUGCGCUCGCUUAUAUGGAACUAAUUCUGCUUCUGAUCACAGGUUUCUUAAUUCUCAAAGUGGUUAGAAUCUUCAGUUCUGCCGAUAAAAGACUUGCUCUUUCUUGUGGCUUGCUGCAGUUUUGUUAUAAUCCUUUUGUCACCAUGAGACCUUAUGCUGGUUCCAACUCAAAUUCUAUUUUUAUUCCUGAACUAUCAAUACUGUCCCGGGAUGUUUUUUGUUUUCAUCUGAUGAUACUAGCGUGUGUGUGUGUGUGUAAUUUCACGGUCACUGCUGAAGCCAUGUUCCUGAGAUCAGAUGUGCUUUAAUUAUAUGGUCUGUACAUUUCUGGUUCUUGUUCUGGGCUACUAUGGACAUAUGCUGAUGUGCUUGUUGCUUCAAAAUGUUGAUCACCUUCCUGUUUCUUGAUGAGCUUCUGAUCUUCUGCUAUGAAAGCUGUAUGUUUUCGUUUUCAGUGUAAUCUCUACUUCCUUUUAUGGAGUUUCCAGCUGUUCUCUCUAUGAUCUGGGUAGCCUUGAGUGAUAUAAUAUCUUUAAUUAAUUCUAAUAAAGUUUCUUCUUUUGAUCA